AUUCUGCAGAAAACGGUUCAACCCAUAGUUUCUGCACCUCCUUGAUAAAUUAAUGCCUUUCAGAAGGACUUGGGCUGAAAUAGAUAUUUUUUCAGCUCUUGAACAUGAAGGUUCUCUGCUUCAUGGUCUGCUAAGAUGUAAUAAUUCACACUGGCAAAUUAUUUGCAAUAAUCAAGAAGAGUUACAUUUCCUAAGGUAUACUUCGCUUAUAAGAAGAGACUUGAUAAAAUAUCCUAGAAAGAGUCGAAAAAGUAAAUCAAAUCCUCUGGAACCGGAGCUAGAGAUGAUUGUGAUCAGCCAUUUUGGUUGCUGAAAAAUGAACUCAGAUAUUUGGUGAAAUCAAGUGUUCUUAACCAGUAAGCAAUCUCUUCAAUUCCAUAACAUCCUUACUAAGCCUAAAUAUCCAGGAACAGAAAGGAGUCCCAGCUGAACCCCAAUAAAUUAGCUAGCACAUGUGUUAUUUUCAA
Mastomys coucha (southern multimammate mouse) is the source of this 467-nucleotide long non-coding RNA. RefSeq lists it as uncharacterized. The transcript has 3 exons. Lineage: Eukaryota; Metazoa; Chordata; Mammalia; Rodentia; Muridae. The record is from RefSeq and is a predicted model, not a curated record.